CAAUUGAUAAAGUGAACUAAUUGCCUACUUCAAAAGCAGUUUUGCAUGAAAGUCAACAUCUAAUUGGAAUUUACAAUGCCCGAUAUUUCUACACAUCUGCCACAAAUUUUAUGGAAAUCAAUAUUUAUAGAAACUGAACAUACCUUGGUUAAACGUAUAUGAAAUGGGUAACCAUCCUCGAAGAACAUCAACCAGCUGUCGGCAAUGUGCAGGUGGACUGAGGAAUUUUCCGGUGUGUCCUUUAUGGACUGUACUCCGUCUUAGCACUAUCCUCAAGUUUUACCCGAGAGGCCAUGCUUCAGGUUGGACCGUCUUCCAUAUAUCUACUGACUUCAUAUAAAUGAAAGUCUCGCUGAUCUGCACAACCAGCUCAUGUUCAACGUUACUGAACUACAAAGUAAUCCGACAAUCAGACUGGACCCGGUCAUAUCAGAUACCAGAGGAAGACGAAAAUAUAAUU
Leguminivora glycinivorella is the source of this 460-nucleotide long non-coding RNA. RefSeq lists it as uncharacterized. The record is from RefSeq and is a predicted model, not a curated record. The transcript has 6 exons. NCBI's taxonomy places the organism in Eukaryota, Metazoa, Arthropoda, Insecta, Lepidoptera, Tortricidae.